This is a long non-coding RNA of Microtus oregoni (creeping vole), 347 nucleotides long. RefSeq lists it as uncharacterized. Lineage: Eukaryota; Metazoa; Chordata; Mammalia; Rodentia; Cricetidae. The record is from RefSeq and is a predicted model, not a curated record. The transcript has 3 exons.
CAGGAAUAGAAGCAGAGGAGACAGCAACGGAAAAUAUUCAGAUGCAGAACUCUCAGCUCCUUCUUCGACACCACACCUGCCCAGAUGAGAAAUCCCCAUCACUGAGCUGGAACAGAUGGUUCAGAUCCUCUCCUCUCACCUCACAAACCCCGACGUCAUCAUCUACGGCCGCCUGGUUCACACUCUGACCCUGACUUCCUAACUGAAUUGUACCUGCAAGACCUACGGUUUCCACUCACCUCAAUGCAUAGGCAUGCUGAUCUAUGCCUGAAACACACAACCGACAAUCAAUUUACUUCUUUCAUUCCAAUGUCUAUCCAUGGUUUACUUAACAAAAGGCUUGGGUA